UUCAUCCCUCCCUCAUCUAGCAUACUAGUACAUUCAAAGUACUGACACAUACCUUUCUCUUGCGCAAUAGUGUGUUAUACCAUAGGUUCAGAAGCGUGAAAUCUAGAGCACCCUUAGCAGUCUAGACUCAGUCAGCAGUAGUAGACGUAGCAGUGAGUCCUCAUCAUUCGAGGAUGCAUCUUAUUUCAGUAUUUCAUUAGAUUCAGUUUAUUUUUAAUAGAUGGAGUUAGUUGGGGACCUGUCCCGUCAACUCCACAGUUCAGACAGUUUAGAGGCUUUUCAGAC
This 285-nucleotide long non-coding RNA is filed under the name Capsicum annuum. Its description in RNAcentral is "long non-coding RNA (CANN_LNC022062)". The record is from RNAcentral. Lineage: Eukaryota; Viridiplantae; Streptophyta; Magnoliopsida; Solanales; Solanaceae.